CCUUGGAAUACCACCCUUGGCAAGAUUAAGUCCUAACCGGCAUCCUUAGCGGGUGCCGAGACAGUGGCAGGUGGGCAGUUUGACUGGGGCGGUCGCCUCCUAAACCGUAACGGAGGCGCCCAAAGGUCCCCUCAGCACGGAUGGAAACCGUGCGCUGAGUGCAAGGGCAUAAGGGGGCUUGACUGUGAGGCCUACAAGCCGAGCAGAGGCGAAAGCCGGGCCUAGUGAUCCUACGCCGGCAAGUGGAAGCGGCGUGGCUUAACGGAUAAAAGCUACCCCGGGGAUAACAGGCUGAUCUCCCCCAAGAGUCCACAUCGACGGGGAGGUUUGGCACCUCGACAUAGGGGUGAGGCAGCAGAAAUGCUGUCAACUGAAUCGGCUUAUAACGGUGAACCCCGACCGCUCGGUCUGAGCGAGGGCAAUACCGUGGGAAGUCUUACGGAAGCACAGCGCUCCGUAAUGACCCCGUAACGACUGAGGCCGAGAGGCCGAGGCAGCGAGCCUGCCGCGAAAUCGGCAAAUCCUGGCCGCUGCAACACGCCGACACCCGCCCUCGGGUCAAGCCCGAGAGGGUGAAGAUAUAGUCUACGCCAUCAGGAAUGAUGGAGACACGUGCGAUGUCGGCUCAUCGCAUCCUGGGGCUGCAGUAGGUCCCAAGGGUUGGGCUGUUCGCCCAUUAAAGCGGUACGUGAGCUGGGUUCAGAACGUAGGAGACUGCGUCCCUCGGGAGCAAUCCCGAGGUGCUCUCCGGCUGAUAUCGGUGAAACCCUCCCGCAGCUCCGAACACUGCGGAGGGCAAUACCGAGGGAAGAACGGGAGUGUAUGUGCAGGAGACGUUGAUCGGAAUCGUGCUGGGAGAUGGAUACCUCGAGCCUCAUGGCCGAGGCGUCCGGCUCCAGGUGAAUCACUCCGUUCGCUUCAAGAGUUACAUUGACUGGAAGCGUCGGGAACUCCUGGAGUUGAAACCCUCUUCCUUGCAUCGAACCGACAACGAUGGGUACCCGUUCUGGCGCUUUGUCACACGGUGCCAUCCGCACCUGGCCGAACUGCGGCGAUUGUUCUAUGCGGGCAAGAGAAAGGUCGUUCCUAAAACGAUCAAGUCCUUGCUCGUGCAUCCCAAGUCGCUGGCAGUUUGGUUCAUGGACGAUGGAACGUGUGAUCGACGGCAAGGCUCGGUUCUCUUCGAAACGCAGUGCUUCGAUCCUGACAGUCUGGAUCGGUUGAGGGUGGUUCUCAAAGACAACUUCGACCUCAAGACAGCAAUCCAUCGAAGCGGCGUUGGAAGAGGAAUGCGACUCUAUGUCACAGUCGCGGAGGCCAGGAAACUGGCCGCAACGAUCGGGCCGUACGUCGUGCCGGAACUCAGGUACAAGCUUCCGUUCCCUGUAACGACUGAAGGCCGCAAGGCCUGAGAUAGGUGUCCUGCCGAAGAGGCAAAUCUGCGGCAUCUAUCACACGCCGGCUCCUUCCGAACUCCUUCGGGAGGAUGGAGCUAUAGUCUGUGCCUCUGGAAACAGAGGAACGACACGCGUGAGACAGUUCGGUCCCUAUCCACUGUGGGCGCAGGUGACUUGAGGGGUGUUGCUCCUAGUACGAGAGGACCGGAGUGAACGGACCUCUGGUGUACCGGUUGUCCUGCCAAGGGCAAGUGCCGGGUAGCUAUGUCCGGACGGGAUAAGCGCUGAAAGCAUCUAAGCGCGAAGCCCACCCCAAGAUGAGGUCACCCACCGGGUUAACCGGGUAAGUCCCCUGGGAGACGACCAGGUUGAUAGGCCGCGGGUGUAAGGCCGUAAGGCUCAGCCUAGCGGUACUAAUAGGACGAGGGCUUGUCCUG
This 1834-nucleotide non-coding RNA is filed under the name Armatimonadetes bacterium RBG_16_67_12. Its description in RNAcentral is "bacterial LSU rRNA". It matches the Rfam family "Bacterial large subunit ribosomal RNA", at positions 2190 to 2924 of the family's 2925-position model. The record is from RNAcentral. Lineage: Bacteria; Bacillati; Armatimonadota.